GCGGCGGACGGGUGAGUAAUGCCUAGGAAUCUGCCUGGUAGUGGGGGAUAACGUCCGGAAACGGGCGCUAAUACCGCAUACGUCCUGAGGGAGAAAGUGGGGGAUCUUCGGACCUCACGCUAUCAGAUGAGCCUAGGUCGGAUUAGCUAGUUGGUGGGGUAAAGGCCUACCAAGGCGACGAUCCGUAACUGGUCUGAGAGGAUGAUCAGUCACACUGGAACUGAGACACGGUCCAGACUCCUACGGGAGGCAGCAGUGGGGAAUAUUGGACAAUGGGCGAAAGCCUGAUCCAGCCAUGCCGCGUGUGUGAAGAAGGUCUUCGGAUUGUAAAGCACUUUAAGUUGGGAGGAAGGGCAGUAAGUUAAUACCUUGCUGUUUUGACGUUACCAACAGAAUAAGCACCGGCUAACUUCGUGCCAGCAGCCGCGGUAAUACGAAGGGUGCAAGCGUUAAUCGGAAUUACUGGGCGUAAAGCGCGCGUAGGUGGUUCAGCAAGUUGGAUGUGAAAUCCCCGGGCUCAACCUGGGAACUGCAUCCAAAACUACUGAGCUAGAGUACGGUAGAGGGUGGUGGAAUUUCCUGUGUAGCGGUGAAAUGCGUAGAUAUAGGAAGGAACACCAGUGGCGAAGGCGACCACCUGGACUGAUACUGACACUGAGGUGCGAAAGCGUGGGGAGCAAACAGGAUUAGAUACCCUGGUAGUCCACGCCGUAAACGAUGUCGACUAGCCGUUGGGAUCCUUGAGAUCUUAGUGGCGCAGCUAACGCGAUAAGUCGACCGCCUGGGGGAGUACGGCCGCAAGGUUAAAACUCAAAUGAAAUUGA
Molecule: ribosomal RNA, 824 nt
Filed under: Pseudomonas aeruginosa
Lineage: Bacteria; Pseudomonadati; Pseudomonadota; Gammaproteobacteria; Pseudomonadales; Pseudomonadaceae
Description: bacterial SSU rRNA
Rfam family: Bacterial small subunit ribosomal RNA
Source: RNAcentral